Molecule: ribosomal RNA, 658 nt
Filed under: uncultured Enterococcus sp.
Lineage: Bacteria; Bacillati; Bacillota; Bacilli; Lactobacillales; Enterococcaceae
Description: bacterial SSU rRNA
Rfam family: Bacterial small subunit ribosomal RNA
Source: RNAcentral
CGAGUGCUUGCACUCAAUUGGAAAGAGGAGUGGCGGACGGGUGAGUAACACGUGGGUAACCUACCCAUCAGAGGGGGAUAACACUUGGAAACAGGUGCUAAUACCGCAUAACAGUUUAUGCCGCAUGGCAUAAGAGUGAAAGGCGCUUUCGGGUGUCGCUGAUGGAUGGACCCGCGGUGCAUUAGCUAGUUGGUGAGGUAACGGCUCACCAAGGCCACGAUGCAUAGCCGACCUGAGAGGGUGAUCGGCCACACUGGGACUGAGACACGGCCCAGACUCCUACGGGAGGCAGCAGUAGGGAAUCUUCGGCAAUGGACGAAAGUCUGACCGAGCAACGCCGCGUGAGUGAAGAAGGUUUUCGGAUCGUAAAACUCUGUUGUUAGAGAAGAACAAGGACGUUAGUAACUGAACGUCCCCUGACGGUAUCUAACCAGAAAGCCACGGCUAACUACGUGCCAGCAGCCGCGGUAAUACGUAGGUGGCAAGCGUUGUCCGGAUUUAUUGGGCGUAAAGCGAGCGCAGGCGGUUUCUUAAGUCUGAUGUGAAAGCCCCCGGCUCAACCGGGGAGGGUCAUUGGAAACUGGGAGACUUGAGUGCAGAAGAGGAGAGUGGAAUUCCAUGUGUAGCGGUGAAAUGCGUAGAUAUAUGGAGGAACACC